Molecule: ribosomal RNA, 974 nt
Filed under: Clostridium botulinum D/C
Lineage: Bacteria; Bacillati; Bacillota; Clostridia; Eubacteriales; Clostridiaceae
Description: bacterial SSU rRNA
Rfam family: Bacterial small subunit ribosomal RNA
Source: RNAcentral
GUUGGUGAGGUAACGGCUCACCAAGGCAACGAUGCGUAGCCGACCUGAGAGGGUGAUCGGCCACAUUGGAACUGAGACACGGUCCAGACUCCUACGGGAGGCAGCAGUGGGGAAUAUUGCGCAAUGGGGGAAACCCUGACGCAGCCACGCCGCGUGAGUGAUGAAGGUUUUCGGAUCGUAAAACUCUGUCUUUAGGGACGAUAAUGACGGUACCUAAGGAGGAAGCCACGGCUAACUACGUGCCAGCAGCCGCGGUAAUACGUAGGUGGCAAGCGUUGUCCGGAUUUACUGGGCGUAAAGAGUAUGUAGGUGGGUGCUUAAGUCAGAUGUGAAAUUCCCGGGCUCAACCUGGGAGCUGCAUUUGAAACUGGGCAUCUAGAGUGCAGGAGAGGAAAGUGGAAUUCCUAGUGUAGCGGUGAAAUGCGUAGAGAUUAGGAAGAACACCAGUGGCGAAGGCGACUUUCUGGACUGUAACUGACACUGAGAUACGAAAGCGUGGGUAGCAAACAGGAUUAGAUACCCUGGUAGUCCACGCCGUAAACGAUGAAUACUAGGUGUCGGGGGGUACCACCCUCGGUGCCGCAGCAAACGCAUUAAGUAUUCCGCCUGGGGAGUACGGUCGCAAGAUUAAAACUCAAAGGAAUUGACGGGGACCCGCACAAGCAGCGGAGCAUGUGGUUUAAUUCGAAGCAACGCGAAGAACCUUACCUAGACUUGACAUCUCCUGAAUUACUCUUAAUCGAGGAAGUCCCUUCGGGGACAGGAAGACAGGUGGUGCAUGGUUGUCGUCAGCUCGUGUCGUGAGAUGUUGGGUUAAGUCCCGCAACGAGCGCAACCCUUAUUGUUAGUUGCUACUAUUAAGUUAAGCACUCUAACGAGACUGCCGCGGUUAACGUGGAGGAAGGUGGGGAUGACGUCAAAUCAUCAUGCCCCUUAUGUCUAGGGCUACACACGUGCUACAAUGGCUGGUACAA